Molecule: ribosomal RNA, 249 nt
Filed under: uncultured bacterium
Lineage: Bacteria
Description: partial 16S ribosomal RNA
Rfam family: Bacterial small subunit ribosomal RNA
Source: RNAcentral
AGCGAACGCUGGGCGGCAUGCUUAACACAUGCAAGUCGCACGACCGGGUUUCGGCCUGGGAGUGGCGGACGGGUGAGGUAUCGCGUAGGGAUUUGUCGUUGGGUGGGGGACAACCUUGGGAAACUGGGGCUAAUACCGCAUGACGCCUGUGGGCCAAAGCUCGAGAGGGCGCCUGACGAGGAGCCUGCGUCCGAUUAGGUAGUUGGUUGGGUGAUGGCUGACCAAGCCUGCGAUCGGUAGCUGGUCUGA